This 941-nucleotide ribosomal RNA is filed under the name Alteromonas macleodii. Its description in RNAcentral is "bacterial SSU rRNA". It matches the Rfam family "Bacterial small subunit ribosomal RNA", at positions 45 to 981 of the family's 1533-position model. The record is from RNAcentral. Lineage: Bacteria; Pseudomonadati; Pseudomonadota; Gammaproteobacteria; Alteromonadales; Alteromonadaceae.
GGCCUAACACAUGCAAGUCGAACGGUAACAUUUCUAUGCUUGCUAGUAAGAUGACGAGUGGCGGACGGGUGAGUAAUGCUUGGGAACUUGCCUUUGCGAGGGGGAUAACAGUUGGAAACGACUGCUAAUACCGCAUAAUGUCUUCGGACCAAACGGGGCUUCGGCUCCGGCGCAAAGAGAGGCCCAAGUGAGAUUAGCUAGUUGGUAAGGUAACGGCUUACCAAGGCGACGAUCUCUAGCUGUUCUGAGAGGAAGAUCAGCCACACUGGGACUGAGACACGGCCCAGACUCCUACGGGAGGCAGCAGUGGGGAAUAUUGCACAAUGGGGGAAACCCUGAUGCAGCCAUGCCGCGUGUGUGAAGAAGGCCUUCGGGUUGUAAAGCACUUUCAGUUGUGAGGAAAAGUUAGUAGUUAAUACCUGCUAGCCGUGACGUUAACAACAGAAGAAGCACCGGCUAACUCCGUGCCAGCAGCCGCGGUAAUACGGAGGGUGCGAGCGUUAAUCGGAAUUACUGGGCGUAAAGCGCACGCAGGCGGUUUGUUAAGCUAGAUGUGAAAGCCCCGGGCUCAACCUGGGAUGGUCAUUUAGAACUGGCAGACUAGAGUCUUGGAGAGGGGAGUGGAAUUCCAGGUGUAGCGGUGAAAUGCGUAGAUAUCUGGAGGAACAUCAGUGGCGAAGGCGACUCCCUGGCCAAAGACUGACGCUCAUGUGCGAAAGUGUGGGUAGCGAACAGGAUUAGAUACCCUGGUAGUCCACACCGUAAACGCUGUCUACUAGCUGUGUGUGUCUUUAAGACGUGCGUAGCGAAGCUAACGCGCUAAGUAGACCGCCUGGGGAGUACGGCCGCAAGGUUAAAACUCAAAUGAAUUGACGGGGGCCCGCACAAGCGGUGGAGCAUGUGGUUUAAUUCGAUGCAACGCGAAGAACCUUACCUACACU